UUUAAGUACAGCCAUAAGUUCUUAUGCCCAACUUUAAUCGUCCAUCUUGUUUAAAUUUUUUUAAUUAGUAUUUUUAUUGUUAUGAGAUGAUAAAAUAUGAAUAGUAUUAUAUGCGUGACUUAUGUUUUUAAUUUUUUCAAAAAAAAAUUAAAUAACACGGACAAUCAAAGUUGGGCACGAAAACUCAUAGCUGUACUUAAA
Molecule: non-coding RNA, 201 nt
Organism: Oryza barthii
Lineage: Eukaryota; Viridiplantae; Streptophyta; Magnoliopsida; Poales; Poaceae
Source: Rfam